CCUACGGGAGGCAGCAGUGAGGAAUAUUGGUCAAUGGACGAGAGUCUGAACCAGCCAAGUAGCGUGAAGGAUGACUGCCCUAUGGGUUGUAAACUUCUUUUAUAUGGGAAUAAAAUGUUCCACGUGUGGGAGUUUGUAUGUAUCAUAUGAAUAAGGAUCGGCUAACUCCGUGCCAGCAGCCGCGGUAAUUCGGAGGAUCCGAGCGUUAUCCGGAUUUAUUGGGUUUAAAGGGAGCGUAGGUGGAUUGUUAAGUCAGUUGUGAAAGUUUGCGGCUCAACCCUAAAAUUGCAGUUGAAACUGGCAGUCUUGAGUACAGGAGAGGUGGGCGGAAUUCGUGGUGUAGCGGUGAAAUGCUUAGAUAUCACGAAGAACUCCGAUUGCGAAGGCAGCUCACUGGACUGCAACUGACACUGAGGCUCGAAAGUGUGGGGAGCAAACAGGAUUAGAUACCCCUGUAGUC
This 460-nucleotide ribosomal RNA is filed under the name uncultured bacterium. RNAcentral describes it as "partial 16S ribosomal RNA". It matches the Rfam family "Bacterial small subunit ribosomal RNA", at positions 338 to 795 of the family's 1533-position model. The record is from RNAcentral.